GAUGAACGCUGGCGGCGUGCCUAAUACAUGCAAGUCGAGCGAACAGAUGAGGAGCUUGCUCCUCUGACGUUAGCGGCGGACGGGUGAGUAACACGUGGAUAACCUACCUAUAAGACUGGGAUAACUUCGGGAAACCGGAGCUAAUACCGGAUAAUAUAUUGAACCGCAUGGUUCAAUAGUGAAAGACGGUUUUGCUGUCACUUAUAGAUGGAUCCGCGCCGCAUUAGCUAGUUGGUACGGUAACGGCUUACCAAGGCAACGAUGCGUAGCCGAACUGAGAGGGUGAUCGGCCACCCUGGAACUGAGACACGGUCCAGACUCCUAAGGGAGGCAGCAGUAGGGAAUCUUACGCAAUGGGCGAAAGCCUGACGGAGCAACGCCGCGUGAGUGAUGAAGGUCUUCGGAUCGUAAAACUCUGUUAUUAGGGAAGAACAAAUGUGUAAGUAACUAUGCACGUCUUGACGGUACCUAAUCAGAAAGCCACGGCUAACUACGUG
Molecule: ribosomal RNA, 497 nt
Filed under: uncultured bacterium
Lineage: Bacteria
Description: partial 16S ribosomal RNA
Rfam family: Bacterial small subunit ribosomal RNA
Source: RNAcentral